This is a non-coding RNA of Caenorhabditis elegans, 135 nucleotides long. The record is from Ensembl. NCBI's taxonomy places the organism in Eukaryota, Metazoa, Nematoda, Chromadorea, Rhabditida, Rhabditidae.
AUUUCUGCAUGAAAACGGAAAACUAUCCGUUAUUUUUUCAGUAUAUCUUUUCUCGUAGAAUGUGAAAUAGUUUGAAAUCAAAAGAGACGUAGAGAAAUGUCAUUGCCCAUUUUCAGUUCCGCUUUACUACAGGUG